This 489-nucleotide ribosomal RNA is filed under the name uncultured Bacillota bacterium. RNAcentral describes it as "bacterial SSU rRNA". It matches the Rfam family "Bacterial small subunit ribosomal RNA", at positions 224 to 704 of the family's 1533-position model. Lineage: Bacteria; Bacillati; Bacillota. The record is from RNAcentral.
GAGGGGCUCGCGGCCUAUCAGCUAGUUGGUAGGGUAACGGCCUACCAAGGCGAUGACGGGUAGCUGGUCUGAGAGGACGACCAGCCACACGGGGACUGAGACACGGCCCCGACUCCUACGGGAGGCAGCAGUGGGGAAUUUUCCGCAAUGGGCGAAAGCCUGACGGAGUGACGCCGCGUGGGGGACGAAGGCCUUCGGGUCGUAAACCCCUGUCAGAGGGAAAGAUGGGUGCCGGCGUGAACAGCGCCGGCAUCUGACGGUACCUUCAGAGGAAGCCCCGGCCAACUCUGUGCCAGCAGCCGCGGUAAGACAGAGGGGGCAAGCGUUGCUCGGAAUUACUGGGCGUAAAGGGCGUGUAGGCGGAGCGGCAAGUCGGUCGUGAAAGCCUCUGGCUCAACUAGAGAACGCCGACCGAUACUGCCGCCCUUGAGGGUAGCAGAGGAGACUGGAAUUCCCGGUGUAGCGGUGAAAUGUGUAGAGAUCGGGAGG